RNAcentral lists this non-coding RNA (148 nucleotides) under Chlorocebus sabaeus (green monkey). Lineage: Eukaryota; Metazoa; Chordata; Mammalia; Primates; Cercopithecidae. The record is from Rfam by way of RNAcentral.
GCCGGGUGUGGUGGCGCACGCCUGUAAUCCCAGCUACUCAGGAGGCUGAGGCAAGAGAAUCGCUUGAACCCGGGAGGCAGAGCUUGCAGUGAGCCAAGAUCGCGCCACUGCACUCCAGUCUGGGUGACAGAGCGAGACUCUGUCUCAA